UACGAAGGGGGCUAGCGUUGCUCGGAAUUACUGGGCGUAAAGGGCGCGUAGGCGGGUGCUUAAGUCAGAGGUCAAAUCCCAGAGCUCAACUCUGGAACUGCCUUUGAUACUGGACACCUAGAGUACGGGAGAGGUGUGUGGAACUCCGAGUGUAGAGGUGAAAUUCGUAGAUAUUCGGAAGAACACCAGUGGCGAAGGCGACACACUGGCCCGUUACUGACGCUGAGGCGCGAAAGCGUGGGGAGCAAACAGG
Molecule: ribosomal RNA, 253 nt
Filed under: uncultured bacterium
Lineage: Bacteria
Description: partial 16S ribosomal RNA
Rfam family: Bacterial small subunit ribosomal RNA
Source: RNAcentral